GGCUGGUCCAAGUAUAGUGGAAGUUACAACUAAUUGAUUACAUUCAGUUACAUAUUCCUUUGUUCAUACUCCACUCCCACUGCUUUGUCCUGCUUUGU
This 98-nucleotide Y RNA is filed under the name Choloepus hoffmanni (Hoffmann's two-fingered sloth). RNAcentral describes it as "Y RNA (ENSCHOG00000014132.1)". It matches the Rfam family "Y RNA". From Rfam's summary of the family: Y RNAs are components of the Ro ribonucleoprotein particle (Ro RNP), in association with Ro60 and La proteins. The Y RNAs and Ro60 and La proteins are well conserved, but the function of the Ro RNP is not known. In humans the RNA component can be one of four small RNAs -- hY1, hY3, hY4 and hY5. Lineage: Eukaryota; Metazoa; Chordata; Mammalia; Pilosa; Megalonychidae. The record is from RNAcentral.